RNAcentral lists this ribosomal RNA (663 nucleotides) under uncultured archaeon. RNAcentral's name for it is "bacterial SSU rRNA". It matches the Rfam family "Archaeal small subunit ribosomal RNA", at positions 691 to 1353 of the family's 1478-position model. The record is from RNAcentral.
CCGACGGUGAGGGGUGAAGGCCAGGGGAGCAAACCGGAUUAGAUACCCGGGUAGUCCUGGCUGUAAAGGAUGCGGGCUAGGUGUCGGGUGAGCUUCGGGCUCGCCCGGUGCCGUAGGGAGGCCGUUAAGCCCGCCGCCUGGGGAGUACGGCCGCAAGGCUGAAACUUAAAGGAAUUGGCGGGGGAGCACUACAAGGGGUGGAGCGUGCGGUUUAAUUGGAUUCAACGCCGGGAACCUCACCGGGGGCGACGGCAGGAUGAAGGCCAGGCUGAAGGUCUUGCCGGACACGCCGAGAGGAGGUGCAUGGCCGCCGUCAGCUCGUACCGUGAGGCGUCCACUUAAGUGUGGUAACGAGCGAGACCCGCGCCCCCAGUUGCCAGCCCUUCCCGCUGGGAAGGGGGCACUCUGGGGGGACUACCGGCGAUAAGCCGGAGGAAGGAGCGGGCGACGGUAGGUCAGUAUGCCCCGAAACCCCCGGGCUACACGCGCGCUACAAUGGGCGGGACAAUGGGAUCCGACCCCGAAAGGGGAAGGGAAUCCCCUAAACCCGCCCCCAGUUCGGAUCGCGGGCUGCAACUCGCCCGCGUGAAGCUGGAAUCCCUAGUACCCGCGUGUCAUCAUCGCGCGGCGAAUACGUCCCUGCUCCUUGUACACACCGCCCGU